CGGACGGGUGAGUAACACGUGGAUAACCUACCUAUAAGACUGGGAUAACUUCGGGAAACCGGAGCUAAUACCGGAUAAUAUAUUGAACCGCAUGGUUCAAUAGUGAAAGACGGUUUUGCUGUCACUUAUAGAUGGAUCCGCGUCGCAUUAGCUAGUUGGUAAGGUAACGGCUUACCAAGGCAACGAUGCGUAGCCGACCUGAGAGGGUGAUCGGCCACACUGGAACUGAGACACGGUCCAG
Molecule: ribosomal RNA, 241 nt
Filed under: uncultured Staphylococcus sp.
Lineage: Bacteria; Bacillati; Bacillota; Bacilli; Caryophanales; Staphylococcaceae
Description: partial 16S ribosomal RNA
Rfam family: Bacterial small subunit ribosomal RNA
Source: RNAcentral